Molecule: ribosomal RNA, 264 nt
Filed under: uncultured bacterium
Lineage: Bacteria
Description: partial small subunit ribosomal RNA
Rfam family: Bacterial small subunit ribosomal RNA
Source: RNAcentral
AGGAUUAACGCUGGCGGCGUGCAUGAAACAUGCAAGUCGAGCGCGGUGUGAUGCGGGGUAACCCAAUUCACAUCUAGCGGCGAACGGGUGAGUAACACGUGAGCAACCUACCUUUGAGUUGGGGAUAGCCCUGGGAAACCGGGAUUAAUACCGGAUACGACCACUUUAGACAUCUGUUGUGGUGGAAAGAAUUUUGGCUAGGGAUGAGCUCGCGGCCUAUCAGCUUGUUGGUGGGGUAACGGCCUACCAAGGCGACGACGGGUA